This 253-nucleotide ribosomal RNA is filed under the name uncultured bacterium. RNAcentral's name for it is "partial 16S ribosomal RNA". It matches the Rfam family "Bacterial small subunit ribosomal RNA", at positions 524 to 776 of the family's 1533-position model. The record is from RNAcentral.
GACGGAGGAUGCAAGCGUUAUCCGGAAUGAUUGGGCGUAAAGCGUCCGCAGGUGGCAGUUCAAGUCUGCUGUCAAAGACCGGGGCUUAACUUCGGAAAGGCAGUGGAAACUGAACAGCUAGAGUAUGGUAGGGGCAGAGGGAAUUCCUGGUGUAGCGGUGAAAUGCGUAGAGAUCAGGAAGAACACCGGCGGCGAAGGCGGCACUCUGGGCCGGUACUGACGCUGAGGAGCGAAAGCGUGGGUAGCAAACAGG